UUAUGAUGAGAAUCCAGCUGGCACCAGUCUGAGAAGACUUGUACUCUUUACAUGCGGAUCAGCUUUACAUGGCCUUGAGCCUACAACCUGAA
Molecule: small nucleolar RNA, 92 nt
Organism: Fonsecaea multimorphosa CBS 102226
Lineage: Eukaryota; Fungi; Ascomycota; Eurotiomycetes; Chaetothyriales; Herpotrichiellaceae
Rfam family: A. fumigatus snoRNA Afu_190
Source: Rfam